This is a long non-coding RNA of Motacilla alba alba, 415 nucleotides long. RefSeq lists it as uncharacterized. The transcript has 2 exons. NCBI's taxonomy places the organism in Eukaryota, Metazoa, Chordata, Aves, Passeriformes, Motacillidae. The record is from RefSeq and is a predicted model, not a curated record.
CCCUCACACCUGAGCCGGCCCCGCCCCGCCCGCGCCCGUAAAUCCCGGCGGAUCCGCGCCCGCUCCGCUCUGUGCGGUGGAUGCUCAUCCCGGGAUGCGGUGGGGCCGUCGCUCGUAGCGCUGUGCGGAGUUUGGGGCGCUGAGAACACAGGACAUUCUCUGUUGGAAAGAGCCACGAGGAUCAUCAAGUCAAAUAAUGGCAAGCGACAGGCCCGUGUGGGUGUUAAACUCGGAAUCUUGGCCUUCUCAGCACCCUGCUCCAAGCACCUGAGCCAAUCUCAGGGUCACAAGGAAGGUCCUGCCUAGGAUGGGAAUGGCUGGUGCCAGCAAAGGAAUUCCUAUGUAAAAUCAGCAAAAUGUUCUGUUAAUGGUGCUUUACACACCAGCCUCUGGAAUGGCUCUGCGGUAGAACUGG